Molecule: ribosomal RNA, 310 nt
Filed under: uncultured bacterium
Lineage: Bacteria
Description: bacterial SSU rRNA
Rfam family: Bacterial small subunit ribosomal RNA
Source: RNAcentral
AUUGAACGCUGGCGGUAGGCUUAACACAUGCAAGUCGAGCGGUAACAGAAAGUAGCUUGCUACUUUGCUGACGAGCGGCGGACGGGUGAGUAACGCGUAGGAAUCUACCUGAUAGUUGGGGAUAGCCCGGGGAAACCCGGAUUAAUACCGAAUACGCUCUACGGAGGAAAGGAGGGGAUCUUUUGACCUUUCGCUAUCAGACGAGCCUGCGUGAGAUUAGCUUGUUGGUGAGGUAAAGGCUCACCAAGGCGACGAUCUCUAGCUGGUCUGAGAGGAUGAUCAGCCACACUGGGACUGAGACACGGCCCAG